RNAcentral lists this ribosomal RNA (544 nucleotides) under uncultured Alphaproteobacteria bacterium. RNAcentral's name for it is "bacterial SSU rRNA". It matches the Rfam family "Bacterial small subunit ribosomal RNA", at positions 1 to 540 of the family's 1533-position model. Lineage: Bacteria; Pseudomonadati; Pseudomonadota; Alphaproteobacteria. The record is from RNAcentral.
GUUGGGAGCUCUCCCAUAUGGUCGACCUGCAGGCGGCCGCGAAUUCACUAGUGAUUAGAGUUUGAUCAUGGGUCAGAACGAACGCUGGCGGCAUGCCUAAUACAUGCAAGUCGAACGAAGGCUUCGGCCUUAGUGGCGCACGGGUGCGUAACGCGUGGGAAUCUGCCCCUUGGUUCGGAAUAACAGUUAGAAAUGACUGCUAAUACCGGAUGAUAUCGCGAGAUCAAAGAUUUAUCGCCUGAGGAUGAGCCCGCGUAGGAUUAGCUAGUUGGUGUGGUAAAGGCGCACCAAGGCGACGAUCCUUAGCUGGUCUGAGAGGAUGAUUAGCCACACUGGGACUGAGACACGGCCCAGACUCCUACGGGAGGCAGCAGUGGGGAAUAUUGGACAAUGGGCGAAAGCCUGAUCCAGCAAUGCCGCGUGAGUGAUGAAGGCCUUAGGGCUGUAAAGCUCUUUUACCCGGGAUGAUAAUGACAGUACCGGGAGAAUAAGCUCCGGCUACCCCCGUGCCAGCAGCCGCGGUAAUACGAAUCGAAUUCCCGCG